Molecule: ribosomal RNA, 381 nt
Filed under: uncultured euryarchaeote
Lineage: Archaea; Methanobacteriati; Methanobacteriota
Description: bacterial SSU rRNA
Rfam family: Archaeal small subunit ribosomal RNA
Source: RNAcentral
UAACACCAGCACCCCAAGUGGGAAUCAGUAUUAUUGGGCCUAAAGCGUCCGUAGCCGGUCAAGCAAAUCUUCCGUGAAAUUGUCAAGCUUAACUUGACAACGUGCGGGAGACACUACUUGACUAGGGACCGGGAGGAGUCAGAGGUAUGCUAGGGGAAGCGGUAAAAUGUUGUGAUCCCUGGUAGACCACCUAUGGCGAAGGCAUCUGACCAGAACGGAUCCGACGGUGAGGGACGAAAGCCAGGGGAGCAAACCGGAUUAGAUACCCGAGUAGUCCUGGCCGUAAACGCUGCGAGUUAGGUGUUGCACAUCUUACGUGGAUGUGCAGUAUCGUAGGGAAGCCGUUAAACUCGCCGCCUGGGAAGUAUGGUCGCAAGGCUG